GACCAUUCUGGUAGCCUAGUGGUUGGAGCAUCUGCGUUGGAUGCAGGAUGUCAUGGGUUCGAAUCCCUGCUGAGUCA
Molecule: non-coding RNA, 77 nt
Organism: Potamilus streckersoni
Lineage: Eukaryota; Metazoa; Mollusca; Bivalvia; Unionida; Unionidae
Source: the annotation of a GenBank genome assembly